GGGGAAUAUUGCGCAAUGGGGGAAACCCUGACGCAGCAACGCCGCGUGAGUGAGGAAGGACUUCGGUCUGUAAAGCUCUGUUAAUGUGGAAAAAUGCUUGUUGGCCUAAUAGGCCGGCAAGUUGAUGGUACACAUAGAGGAAGCACCGGCUAACUUCGUGCCAGCAGCCGCGGUAAUACGAAGGGUGCAAGCGUUGUUCGGAUUUAUUGGGCGUAAAGCGCACGUAGGUGGACUUAUAAGUCAGAUGUGAAAUCUCGGGGCUCAACCUCGAAACUGCAUCUGAAACUGCAAGUCUAGAAUCUUGGAGGGGGCAGGGGAAUUUCACAUGUAGGGGUAAAAUCCGUAGAUAUGUGAAGGAACACCAGAGGCGAAGGCGCCUGCCUGGACAAGUAUUGACACUGAGGUGCGAAAGCGUGGGGAUCAAAC
RNAcentral lists this ribosomal RNA (426 nucleotides) under uncultured bacterium. RNAcentral describes it as "bacterial SSU rRNA". It matches the Rfam family "Bacterial small subunit ribosomal RNA", at positions 356 to 773 of the family's 1533-position model. The record is from RNAcentral.